CCUACGGGUGGCAGCAGUGGGGGAUAUUGCACAAUGGGGGGAACCCUGAUGCAGCGACGCCGCGUGGGUGAAGAAGCGCCUCGGCGCGUAAAGCUCUGUCAGCAGGGAAGAAAAUGACGGUACCUGAAGAAGAAGCCCCGGCUAACUACGUGCCAGCAGCCGCGGUAAUACGUAGGAUCCGAGCGUUAUCCGGAUUUAUUGGGUUUAAAGGGUGCGUAGGCGGGCUGUAAAGUCGGCGGUAAAAUGUCGGGGCCCAACCCCGGCCUGCCGUUGAAACUGGGCGCCUAGAGUUGGCGAGAGGCAUGCGGAAUGCGUGGUGUAGCGGUGAAAUGCGUAGAUAUCACGAAGAACACCGAUGGCGAAGGCAGCAUACCGGCGCCUUACUGACGCUGAGGCACGAAAGCGUGGGUAGCGAACAGGAUUAGAUACCCGUGUAGUC
This 439-nucleotide ribosomal RNA is filed under the name uncultured bacterium. RNAcentral's name for it is "partial 16S ribosomal RNA". It matches the Rfam family "Bacterial small subunit ribosomal RNA", at positions 338 to 795 of the family's 1533-position model. The record is from RNAcentral.